RNAcentral lists this ribosomal RNA (275 nucleotides) under uncultured bacterium. RNAcentral's name for it is "partial 16S ribosomal RNA". It matches the Rfam family "Bacterial small subunit ribosomal RNA", at positions 338 to 604 of the family's 1533-position model. The record is from RNAcentral.
CCUACGGGUGGCUGCAGUGGGGAAUCUUGCGCAAUGGGCGAAAGCCUGACGCAGCAACGCCGCGUGUGUGAUGAAGGUCUUCGGAUCGUAAAGCACUGUCGGCAGGAACGAAGGUUUGUAGUCUCAAUACGGCUAUAGAUUGACGGUACCUGCAAAGGAAGCACCGGCUAACUCUGUGCCAGCAGCCGCGGUAAUACAGAGGGUGCAAGCGUUGUUCGGAAUCAUUGGGCGUAAAGCGCACGUAGGCGGUUUCUCAAGUCAGGUGUGAAAGCCCC